GUGCGGUUGGCGUAGAGGUUUAACGCAUCGGCCUUCCACCACAAGGUCCCAGACCCCUCAAUGGAGGAGGAAGCCGGAGACCCGGGUUCGAACCCCGGACCGCGCA
Transfer RNA from Sordaria macrospora k-hell, 106 nucleotides. It matches the Rfam family "tRNA". From Rfam's summary of the family: Transfer RNA (tRNA) molecules are approximately 80 nucleotides in length. Their secondary structure includes four short double-helical elements and three loops (D, anti-codon, and T loops). Further hydrogen bonds mediate the characteristic L-shaped molecular structure. tRNAs have two regions of fundamental functional importance: the anti-codon, which is responsible for specific mRNA codon recognition, and the 3' end, to which the tRNAs corresponding amino acid is attached (by aminoacyl-tRNA synthetases). tRNAs cope with the degeneracy of the genetic code in two manners: having more than one tRNA (with a specific anti-codon) for a particular amino acid; and 'wobble' base-pairing, i.e. permitting non-standard base-pairing at the 3rd anti-codon position. Lineage: Eukaryota; Fungi; Ascomycota; Sordariomycetes; Sordariales; Sordariaceae. The record is from Rfam.